Long non-coding RNA from Anolis carolinensis (green anole), 748 nucleotides. RefSeq lists it as uncharacterized. The record is from RefSeq and is a predicted model, not a curated record. The transcript is spliced from 3 exons. Lineage: Eukaryota; Metazoa; Chordata; Lepidosauria; Squamata; Anolidae.
GGGAUGAAUUAUGAAUGUACUUCAGUAGAAACCUGAUGAGCUGCAUUAGUCUGCAGUUAUCAGAAACAUGAGUCAGGCAUUGCUUUGUUUGUCAUGUGCACAAAGUCCAGGAAUCUCAGGUUUCAUAUCCAGGCAGAGUUAUAACAAGCAUAUUGGGAGCCACAGACCAAAGCCAGAGAUGUAGACCGGAUUCUUUCAAAGACAGACACUGAGAACUGAGAAGCCCUGGCCCUUGGAGGUCAGCUGUGACCAGAAGUGCUAUGGAAUUUGAAGAGGCACAAAUGGAAGGUGAAAGGAUGAACCGUGCCAAGAGGAAGGCGUGUCAAACCAACCCUGACCGGGACCACCUUCCCACCUGGAAACCAAUGUCCUCACUGCGGAAGAACAUGCGGGUCAAGUAUAGGUCUUCACAGCCACCUAUGCAUCCACCAACAAGACACUACACUUGGAGGGUCAUCAUCUUUGGGCUACGAGGGAUCGUCUAAGUUUUCUGCACCCUUCCACCUGUGGAUGUGGAGGGCCAACUGGAUUAUCAUGGAGCUAGCUAAGAUGACUUCUACCAGUAAACACACCUGUUGUUUCCAGGAUACAGAUUCAACAGAGAUCAAGUAUAGUAAAGAGGAAUAUUUGCACCAAAACAAAAUGCUCUUAAUGUUUAAUUGAUGUAAUAUUGCUAAAAUAUUCUGGCACUCAGGCUAUAAUUCCUAAAUAAUAAUAAUAAAGACUCAGUAGAACUUGGUGAGAAUCA